AUUCUUCACCGGAUAAUCGGUCGCCUUAGGCGACAGGAAAGUCCGAGCACCAUAUUAGUUGACUAGUUAAAUAGUUGAUUAGUUUAGUGGCAGUGGCUAACGGCCACGCUUCAUAGAAGAAAUUUUAUGGGGACGGAUACUCCGACGUAAAAUCGGAGCCCCGACUUCAUUAUUAGAUUUUAAUAGUGCGUCGGGGGUGUCACAGAAACAAUACCGCGACAUCAUCAAUUUUGGCCUAAAGCCAAAAAAGUUGAUACGCAAGGGUGAAAAGAGGUGAGGUAAAAGCUCACAGCGUACGUUGGCGACAGCGUGCGGUGAAAAACACCUGCCCGGUGCAACCUCAUUAACGGGGGCUAGAGCCCGAAGAGUAAUCUCGGGCCCAGACAGAUGAUUAUCCUCCGCCUAAGCACGUAAGCUCUUGGCGGGGACAGAACUCGGCUUACAGGUGGAGAAUCCCC
RNAcentral lists this RNase P RNA (458 nucleotides) under Candidatus Giovannonibacteria bacterium RIFCSPHIGHO2_01_FULL_43_140. Its description in RNAcentral is "RNase P RNA component class A". It matches the Rfam family "Bacterial RNase P class A". From Rfam's summary of the family: Ribonuclease P (RNase P) is a ubiquitous endoribonuclease, found in archaea, bacteria and eukarya as well as chloroplasts and mitochondria. Its best characterised activity is the generation of mature 5'-ends of tRNAs by cleaving the 5'-leader elements of precursor-tRNAs. Cellular RNase Ps are ribonucleoproteins. The record is from RNAcentral. Lineage: Bacteria; Candidatus Giovannoniibacteriota. RNAcentral also lists the same sequence under 5 other names.